Molecule: non-coding RNA, 501 nt
Organism: Zootoca vivipara (common lizard)
Lineage: Eukaryota; Metazoa; Chordata; Lepidosauria; Squamata; Lacertidae
Source: RefSeq, a predicted model, not a curated record
CUCACUUCCUUUGGGAUGGGUCAUUGACACUAUAUAAAAUAGGAGAGGGUUCUUCACUCCUUCACUGGAACUUGUUGUUCUAAGGAACUACCGCUGCUGAACAAGGUUCAUCUUCCUACUCUUUAAAAAUGAGUUGCUGCUGUUGUAGAGGUCGUGGCUGCUGCUGCUGCAACACACGUAGGCCAAGAGUGGUCUACUAUGUCAGGAGGCAGGUCCCCGUUGCAUCCAGCUGUUGUGGCCGCCGGUAUUCUUAUGUCCCUUCACGAAUUUGCUGCUCCCGUGGAUCUCAGCUCCCAAUCCAGCAGUGCUGCCCACCAGCAAAGAGAUGCUAAAUAAAUCUCUGCAGGCAUUGAGAAACGCUCAGAAUCUCCAUCUCAACAGCCGGGUGGAGAAAACCAUCAUGGAGAACCCCGAUUUGAAAACCUGUUAGAUUACGUCUUGCAAUCACAUCUUGCUGAGUUAAAUGCCUGAAACCUUCCUCACCACCCUGAUCACAUCCUC